Molecule: non-coding RNA, 78 nt
Organism: Schistosoma margrebowiei
Lineage: Eukaryota; Metazoa; Platyhelminthes; Trematoda; Strigeidida; Schistosomatidae
Source: Rfam
AGCCUUCUAAAUCCGUGCCGAGAUUUCGUGAGACGCCAGACCAUCAGUACUAAUGAGACUCCUAAGAUAAACGAUGCC